GCCGGGCAGGGUGAGAGCACAGUAGUGCUUUGCCAUCAAGGAAACCGCAGGAACAAGCGGAGAUAUUAUCUCUGACAUCUGGCUCCGAGCAGGGAGCUCUGGCUGCCGUCCCUAAUGGACGGGAUGGCCCCGGGGCUGCUUUUUGUUUCAGGGCUCCUCGUGGCUUCCCCGGCAACAGCAGAGAUGGAUGCCAGAGCUGGGGACACACAGACAGCACCGCCACCCUUCCCCUGCCCUCUGCAGAGCCGGCGGUGACCUCGGCGUGACCGGAGAGCAGCGAUGUGUCCUCAGUGUCCUCAGCCACCCUUUAACCCCAGAACCAGCCUUUCAUCCGGAGAUCAGAAAUCCGAGUUCUCCCUGUGUCCAGCUUGAGCAGAAAAACUCCAUCUGCAAGGCACAGUCGGGAUCUCAGAUCCUACACACACCUCAGAGCAAGGUCUAGUGAUC
Long non-coding RNA from Vidua macroura (Pin-tailed whydah), 447 nucleotides. RefSeq lists it as uncharacterized. Lineage: Eukaryota; Metazoa; Chordata; Aves; Passeriformes; Viduidae. The record is from RefSeq and is a predicted model, not a curated record. The transcript has 3 exons.